Molecule: ribosomal RNA, 421 nt
Filed under: uncultured bacterium
Lineage: Bacteria
Description: bacterial SSU rRNA
Rfam family: Bacterial small subunit ribosomal RNA
Source: RNAcentral
AGGAAUAUUGGUCAAUGGACGCAAGUCUGAACCAGCCAUGCCGCGUGCAGGAUGACGGCUCUAUGAGUUGUAAACUGCUUUUGUACGAGGGUAAACCCCGAUACGUGUAUUGGGUUGAAAGUAUCGUGCGAAUACGCAUCGGCUAACUCCGUGCCAGCAGCCGCGGUAAUACGGAGGAUGCGAGCGUUAUCCGGAUUUAUUGGGUUUAAAGGGUGCGUAGGCGGUUACUUAAGUCAGCGGUCAAAUGGCGGGGCUCAACCCCGUCCAGCCGUUGAAACUGGGUAGCUUGAGUCGGCGAGAAGUACGCGGAAUGCGCGGUGUAGCGGUGAAAUGCAUAGAUAUCGCGCAGAACUCCGAUUGCGAAGGCAGCGUACCGGCGCCGCACUGACGCUGAGGCACGAAAGCGUGGGUAUCGAACAGG